CCUACGGGAGGCAGCAGUGGGGAAUAUUGCACAAUGGGGGAAACCCUGAUGCAGCGACGCCGCGUGAGUGAAGAAGUAAUUCGUUAUGUAAAGCUCUAUCAGCAGGGAAGAAAAUGACGGUACCUGAGUAAGAAGCCCCGUCUAAAAACGUGCCAGCAGCCGUGGGAAUACGUAGGGGGCAAGCGUUAUCCGGAUUUACUGGGUGUAAAGGGGGCGUAGACGGCUGUGCAAGUCUGAAGUGAAAGCCCAGGGCUCAACCCUGGGACUGCUUUGGAAACUGUGGAGCUAUAGUGCUGGAGAGGUAAGUGGAAUUCCUAGGGGAGCGGUGGAAUGCGUAGAUAUUAGGAGGAACACCAGUGGCGAAGGCGGCUUACUGGACAGUAACUGACGUUGAGGCUCGAAAGCGUGGGGAGCAAACAGGAUUAGAUACCCUAGUAGGUC
RNAcentral lists this ribosomal RNA (441 nucleotides) under uncultured bacterium. RNAcentral describes it as "partial 16S ribosomal RNA". It matches the Rfam family "Bacterial small subunit ribosomal RNA", at positions 338 to 795 of the family's 1533-position model. The record is from RNAcentral.